RNAcentral lists this transfer RNA (72 nucleotides) under Chlorokybus atmophyticus. RNAcentral describes it as "tRNA-Gly". It matches the Rfam family "tRNA". From Rfam's summary of the family: Transfer RNA (tRNA) molecules are approximately 80 nucleotides in length. Their secondary structure includes four short double-helical elements and three loops (D, anti-codon, and T loops). Lineage: Eukaryota; Viridiplantae; Streptophyta; Chlorokybophyceae; Chlorokybales; Chlorokybaceae. The record is from RNAcentral.
GCGGAAAUAGCUCAAUGGUAGAGUAUGGCCUUGCCAAGGCUAUGGUUGAGGGUUCGAAUCCCUUUUUCCGCU